CAGUCGCCACGGGAAUACGAAGGGGGCUAGCGUUGUUCGGAAUUACUGGGCGUAAAGCGCACGUAGGCGGACAUUUAAGUCAGGGGUGAAAUCCCGGGGCUCAACCCCGGAACUGCCUUUGAUACUGGGUGUCUAGAGUAUGGAAGAGGUGAGUGGAAUUCCGAGUGUAGAGGUGAAAUUCGUAGAUAUUCGGAGGAACACCAGUGGCGAAGGCGGCUCACUGGUCCAUUACUGACGCUGAGGUGCGAAAGCGUGGGGAGCAAACAGGAUUAGAUACCCCGGUAGUCCCUGUCUCUUAUAU
Molecule: ribosomal RNA, 301 nt
Filed under: uncultured bacterium
Lineage: Bacteria
Description: partial 16S ribosomal RNA
Rfam family: Bacterial small subunit ribosomal RNA
Source: RNAcentral